This 760-nucleotide ribosomal RNA is filed under the name uncultured Inocybe. Its description in RNAcentral is "partial 28S ribosomal RNA". It matches the Rfam family "Eukaryotic large subunit ribosomal RNA", at positions 216 to 962 of the family's 3401-position model. Lineage: Eukaryota; Fungi; Basidiomycota; Agaricomycetes; Agaricales; Cortinariaceae. The record is from RNAcentral.
GAAUCCCGUCUUUGACACGAACUGCCUGUACAUUAUGGUGUGCUCUCGAAGAGUCGAGUUGUUUGGGAAUGCAGCUCAAAAUGGGUGGUAAAUGCCAUCUAAAGCUAAAUAUUGGCGAGAGUCCGAUAGCGAACAAGUACCGUGAGGGAAAGAUGAAAAGAACUUUGGAAAGAGAGUUAAACAGUACGUGAAAUUGCUGAAAGGGAAACGCUUGAAGUCAGUCGCGUUGGCUAGAAAUCAACCUUGCUUUUGCUUUGUGUACUUUCUGGUUGACGGGUCAGCAUCAAUUUUGACCACUGGAUAAAGUCUUUGGGAAUGUGGCAUCUUCGGAUGUGUUAUAGCCCAUUGUCGCAUACGGUGGUUGGGAUUGAGGAACUCAGCACGCCGCAAGGCCGGGUUUCGACCACGUUCGUGCUUAGGAUGCUGGCAUAAUGGCUUUAAUCGACCCGUCUUGAAACACGGACCAAGGAGUCUAACAUGCCUGCGAGUGUUUGGGUGGAAAAACCCAUGCGCGCAAUGAAAGUGAAAGUUGAGAUCCUCUUCAAAGGGGGAGCAUUGACGCCCGGACCAGACCUUUUGUGACGGAUCCGCGGUAGAGCAUGCAUGUUGGGACCCGAAAGAUGGUGAACUAUGCCUGAAUAGGGUGAAGCCAGAGGAAACUCUGGUGGAGGCUCGUAGCGAUUCUGACGUGCAAAUCGAUCGUCAAAUUUGGGUAUAGGGGCGAAAGACUAAUCGAACCAUCUAGUAGCUGGUUCCUGCC